Molecule: RNA transcript, 3402 nt
Organism: Alexandromys fortis (reed vole)
Lineage: Eukaryota; Metazoa; Chordata; Mammalia; Rodentia; Cricetidae
Gene: Brme1
Gene name: break repair meiotic recombinase recruitment factor 1
Exons: 10
Source: RefSeq, a predicted model, not a curated record
GCGGCGUGACGUGGGUGGCGGGCGUGACGGGCGGAGGGCUGUGGCUCUCGCCGCUGUGCCCUGUUCUGUCCUCUUUGUGGGAGUGCGGGGGUGUUACUGCUGUCGGUCACUGUGGGGCAGGUCGCGGGGAGCGCUGCGUCCACGGUGCCGGGCCUCAGGCCUUCAGGUCCCCCAGCGCCAUUCGGCCUCACGAUCCCAUGUCUGACGAUGUGGUCAUUUUCUCAAAAUGUCACGCAAGUAAUUUAGGCGAUUUAUUCCCCAUCAGAUGCAAGCUGAUCUCGUCCCUACUAAGGACAGAGUGACUUCGUCUCUCUGCUGUGGCCCAGAUUUCUCAGGGAAAGAUAAAAUGUAUAAGAAGAAGAAGAAGCAGCGGGACUCAGGGGACAGCCUCCCUUCCUCAAAACCAUCUAAGAACCCACGGCUGAAAGACCCCCAGGAAAGCCCCCAGAGCUCCAUGCUGAUACAGUCACACCAUUCCAGAGAGUCGGAAGACAGCCCAGAACCUGCUGCCUCUGUAGAGCCAACUGAGGAGGAAUCACAACCUGCAGCUUCCAGCUGCCUUGUGGAGGACACAAGAGCUGCCUCUGACCUCCUGGAGUCACCGGAAGAGCUGGUCCCCCUGCCUCCUUCUCAGAACUCAGGUGGGAGGUUUGUCCCCCAGUUUGCCAAACCAAAGAAGACAACAAGAAGAAAAGCCAAGGCGUGGAAAGAGGUUCCAGAAAGCUGCACAGGAAGCCCGGAAACACGGCCAGAGCUGGGUACCCUCCAGGCAGGAAGCCAGCCAAAGGAGGAGUCCCCGAGGUUCCCUCUCCACGAUGCCCAGAGGCCAGAAGACCAGACAUGGGCAGAUGGUGCCUGCCCAGAGGAGAGGACCAUCUCACCAGAUGCUGGAAGCCUAGGGAACAAUGACUUUGAGAUGCAGAGGGCCAGGGUUCAAGACAGUACUAGCCAGGAAAGGCACCUGUCAGAUGGUGAUGCCAAAGGGAGAGAGGCAGAUGGCAGAGCCCCACAGGAAGGAGGUGCCCAAGGAGGGGAACCCCAGGAAGAAGGCAUCCUCUACAUUUCAGCACCAGCUCCUGCCUCAUACCCCAUUGUACCUGUCCCCACACACAUACUCAGCAGCACAGAUGCAGCACCAAGCUGCAGCAGCCCAGCAGAUGCCUCUCUUACGGACAAUGUCAUCACAGCUGUGAGCUUAGAUCCCUCUGUGCUGCAACAGAGGGCUCCAGAGGUGGCUGGGCUGCCAGGCUCUCCAGAUGGACAGACCCCUGGUGGAGACUGCACUGGGACUCUGCUGGGCUACACACCUCUUGCUGAGGAGACCACAGCAGGCAGAGAGGAGGUCAGGCUGGAAGAGGGGUCCCCUGGUGACAUCCUGGCAAGCCUCAGUGAGACUGCAGUUCCCGAGAAAGAAGAGCCCAUGGUGGAUGCUGGAGAUCCAGGCCAUAUGGAACAGGAAAUGGGUCCUGCUGUCAAGACCAAGGACCCUGACUCUGAUGGACAGUUGCCAGGAGGGAUGGGAAUGCUGCCUUUACAGGCCCAGCCCUUGAACCAAAAGGUAGUGGAGUCAAGCAGCCUAAACUGUCACCAAGACUUUGAGGGCCUCAGCUUGUCCCCUCAUACCUCCUCUCAGCUAGAGCAUAGCUAUGCAGCUAGUGACCCUCCCCAGAGGAAGGCCUGUCAUAGCAGUCCAGGAAUUCCCAUAGACCUGGCAGGACAGCAGCCAUCAGUUCCCAGUUCUAGAGAUCAGGCUGCAUGGCAGGAGUCCUCAGCAAUGGAACUAGACUUCCUGCCCGACAGCCAGAUACAAGAUGCCCUGGAUGCCCCCAAUGUGGAGGCCCUGCCUGAGCAGGGUUCUCCUGCAGGGAAUGUGCCAGGCCUUGGCUGGCCUGUCUCUAGCCCAGAUGCCAUCGGAGGAUCCCCAAAGGUAGUGACCAAAGCUCAUCCCAGACCGGCUACGGGGACCUGGGUCCAAAAUGCCUGCAGGAUGCAAGAUGCCACAGACACAGUACGUGGCCUCGUGGUGGAGCUCUCCAGUCUCAACCGGCUGAUUAUGAGUACCCACCGGGAACUGGAGGCCUUCAAGCGCAGGAAAGCCAAGCCUCUGCCUUACCUGACAAAGGGGAGCCUUGCUAGAGGGGAUCAGAGCUGGAGGGACCUGUAGGCUGUUCCAGCCUGGACCCCCCAAGCUCUCUAGGCCUUUGGGGGGGUCAGUCUACCUAAGCUCCGUAUGCAAGAGGCUGAGACUACUUGAGCUUCAGGACGUCCUCUGACAGCAGGCCCCACCACAGGUGCUCAUCCAGCUUCCAGAGCCUCCUGAGCUGAGAUGCGGUUGCUUUUCCGUUUGUCUCGGGACGCGAGAGGUGCUCUGUUCUUUUCCCCGUUUGUCUCGGGACGCGAGAGGUGCUCUGUUCUUUUCCCUGUUUUGUCCAUGUUACUUUUGGGAAAGUGGUGAAUAAACGGUGCAGUCAUAGCCCGUGAGUCCCAGCUGUGUGGUGGAGACGUUCCCAGCUCGUAUGUUCUGCCCAUGGACCACUCUACUGUCUCCUCCACCUGCAGAAGGCUAGGUGUAGGGCUAGCCAGAACACAGGUCAGGGGCUCCCCACAGCUCAGUGUCCCAGGUUUCCAGGAGAAUGGCUGUGUACACACUGGUCACAUCCAGACACAGGUGGAGGGCACAAAGACAAGGUCCCAGGCAGGGUGAGACCCCAGCCUACUGCUUAGGAACGAGCUCUGAUCAUCUCCCUUCCCUCACCCUGCCUCUGCACAUGACAGUGUCUGGCUGCGUUGGGGGCAGUCAUCCUCUUUGCUGAAGUAUAUGCCUAGGAGGCUCAGGCUCCCCACUGAGCCUCUUCCUAGGGAACCCUAUGAAACAGGCAGGGUAUGACCCCACAUAGUCCCUCCCGGCUCUGGGCUCAGACUCUGGAUGCUGAGUUAUGCAAGGAGCUGCUGCUGUCCCAAUGCCAUUCACAGACCUGAGGCUACUAAGAAGCCCUUCUCCGGUCACCUUCCUCUUCCCUGGCUCCCAGCCCACCCCAGACCAGGAACAAGGAGGGUCCCAGGAAAUCUAAUUCCUGUUCUGACCUCAGCCCCAGAAGAACAGGGACCGAGAGUGAAGCCUCAGGCCAGUUAGAUGAAUGCAGGCAGAGCAUCUCGCAGUCAAGCCCAUCCCUGCACUUGUACCAGCCUGUUUCCCUGGAGCCCUGUGUGCCUUCAGUGCAAGAGGCCCCUAUUUUGCAUAUCAGUAUGCAGUGGGUACCUGGGAGUUUACACACCUCACAGCUGCCCUAAUGGUGUCGCUCCUGAUUCAGCUCCCCAAGGUGACCCCAAGAUUUAAGGAGCAGUUUGUUAGGUGAUAGGGAGUGAGGAUGUGGUCCGUAGACUGGGGUCCCUGCCAACCAU